Molecule: long non-coding RNA, 450 nt
Organism: Cynoglossus semilaevis (tongue sole)
Lineage: Eukaryota; Metazoa; Chordata; Actinopteri; Pleuronectiformes; Cynoglossidae
Exons: 4
Source: RefSeq, a predicted model, not a curated record
ACACAGGAUAAAUAGGUGACUCCUCAAAGCUGGGAGAAAACAUUUGAGGCGUCAGAGCUCAGAAAGGACAACUGAACAGACGUGUGUUGUUGAAGGACAAACAUUGAAACCAUGAAGACUGUGAUGGUGGCUCUUUUGAUGGUGUUGGUUGUCAGCCACAGUGAAGCCUUGAAGUGUAAAUGUGGAGGGAAGCGUAGAUGCUCAGGUUCUACAGAGACUUGCCAUGGUUCAAAUCCAGUCUGUGCCAGCAUCACCUUCACUGGUCCCAGUCCUGGUUACUUCAGGGGCUGUUAUGAUAGAAAUGACUGCAGAAUGUUAAGCAGUUCACCAGUAUCCACGGGUUACUGCUGCAGUACUGAUCUGUGCAACUGAACAAUGAUCAUCACUGAACAACAGUGCACUGUAGUGUUGACUGCAUUGUCCAAAUAAACUUCACUGGGAAUAACGGUU